Molecule: ribosomal RNA, 253 nt
Filed under: uncultured bacterium
Lineage: Bacteria
Description: partial 16S ribosomal RNA
Rfam family: Bacterial small subunit ribosomal RNA
Source: RNAcentral
UACGAAGGGGGCUAGCGUUGUUCGGAAUUACUGGGCGUAAAGCGCGCGCAGGCGGUCUUCCAAGUCAGUGGUGAAAGCCCGGAGCUCAACUCCGGAAUUGCCAUUGAAACUGUGAGACUGGAGUACGAGAGAGGUGAGUGGAAUUCCCAGUGUAGAGGUGAAAUUCGUAGAUAUUGGGAAGAACACCGGUGGCGAAGGCGGCUCACUGGCUCGUAACUGACGCUCAGGCGCGACAGCGUGGGGAUCAAACAGG